UACGGAGGGUGCGAGCGUUGUCCGGAAUCACUGGGCGUAAAGGGCGCGUAGGCGGCCUGAUAAGUAGGGGGUGAAAUCUUGCGGCUUAACCGCAAGGCUGCCUUCUAAACUGUCAGGCUAGAGCACAGUAGAGGCAGGUGGAAUUCCCGGUGUAGCGGUGGAAUGCGUAGAGAUCGGGAAGAACAUCAGUGGCGAAGGCGGCCUGCUGGGCUGUUGCUGACGCUGAGGCACGACAGCGUGGGGAGCAAACAGG
Molecule: ribosomal RNA, 253 nt
Filed under: uncultured bacterium
Lineage: Bacteria
Description: partial 16S ribosomal RNA
Rfam family: Bacterial small subunit ribosomal RNA
Source: RNAcentral